This 1426-nucleotide long non-coding RNA is filed under the name Helianthus annuus (common sunflower). RNAcentral describes it as "hypothetical non coding rna". The record is from RNAcentral. Lineage: Eukaryota; Viridiplantae; Streptophyta; Magnoliopsida; Asterales; Asteraceae.
UUCAAACAACCAACAGCCAUACGAUUAAGGCAGAUUUCAUCAUCCGGCUUGAAGUCGUUGGAUUUGGCCGGAGAAGAAAAGAGGUGCGGUGCCGGUGAUCUCGCGUGUCGCAUAGAGCAGGAGAUAAGUUUUUCUCUGAGUUGUGAGGCGAAGAACAAACUGUGGGGUUUCUUAUCGAAAGUCAAAAAGAUGCGUGGCAAAUCUCUGAAGCACACAAAAUAAACUGGCGCAAACCAUCGAUGUUGUUUGAUAUAUAACUAGCUGGCGUCUCGCGCGUUGCGGCGGAUGCGCCAAUUUAAGCAAACUGCAUCUAAAUCGACACUAAAGGAAUUCGACUUCUUUGGGGCAUAAAAUGAAAUACCUAAACUCUGAAAAGGAAGUUACUGGAUCUUCGCCGUAACCGGAGCGUUCGUCGGAAUGUGUUUCUGCACGCCACCUCUUGAACCCUAAUCAACACACUCGCAAGCAAAAUGUUGGGGUCGACUGAAUUGCCAAAACAUCAGCAAUCAAGCAAAGUCACAGAUAAUGAAGCUGAGGCAGUGGAACUAACACCACAUCUCGAAUGAAGUGGAUGUCAGUCUGUGUUUCGCAUGCUAAUGAAACACCUGAUUGGUCUUCAUAUAAUAUAAGUAUCACCAGUACUUGCACAACAAAGCUACGGUCUAUGGUGAACUUAGGAGGGUGACACAAAGGUCAAAAACAGUUAAGAAAACCCAACGUCUAGAAUGCCAAAGCGACCUAGAAAGUGACAGCAGUAGACAUAGCAUAACUAUUGUGAGUAUAAAUGUGAUAAGAGCAUCAAAAACAUAACAAAGAUAUGAGAAUUUAACAAUACACGACUGACAUAAGAUUUUUUGUAAGACCUGAAACUAAAAUAACACACAUGAUGGUGGAAUGGCCGAUAUGAGUAAUGUUACAGAUUUUUCCAUCUCUUCUCGAUAAGCUCACGCACCCUCAACUAAAGUAGGAUCAGAGGUCAUAUGCUCAGUAGCACCAAACUUCCUGAUCCAAACGUCGACUAAAUCACAAGCACCCAGAGCAUAUAAAUUUGCAACAUAACCAGCUCGAGAAGUUUGUCUGGAAUUACUUUUAUCAUUUCUAUACCACUCGAAAAGUCCCAUGGAUUUGUUUAUAACCUCGGUAUAUGAUCGACUCAAGUAACAAAUGGAUACACAUCUCCUCUACACCAAGUAUACAGAUCUAAAGGUCUAAAAAGAAUAGCACUUAUUAACAGUAAAACAAUAACCGUUACUUCACCUUAGAAGCAGGCGUAUCUUCUUGUUUCAGUUCUGUCUGAAAAAACGGAAAAGCAGUAGGAGAAGUAGCAGUCUCCAUAGCAUCAACCGCUACUCUAACCUUAAUAUCACGAAGUUUCUUACAUUUCUCCACGAAAUUAGGUUUAGUUGCGGCCAAGUUGUUCUUCCCA